This is a long non-coding RNA of Cavia porcellus (domestic guinea pig), 2541 nucleotides long. RefSeq lists it as uncharacterized. The transcript is spliced from 2 exons. The record is from RefSeq and is a predicted model, not a curated record. Lineage: Eukaryota; Metazoa; Chordata; Mammalia; Rodentia; Caviidae.
ACCACCAGCAUUGCAAAAGCCUCAAAGCAGAAGGAUCAGUUUUCACCAUGUGAGCAGCAGCUGAGAGCAGGAAGCGCUGUGGAACAUCUGACUGUGACACGUGUGUCCACGCAGGGCCCCGGCAUGGGGGAGGCAGGGCUUCCGGAGGACCUACUGCUCCUUCUACCCUGUGAAAAGGCUGUUUUAGAUCACAGAAUCCAAGAAAUGGUGAAUCAUAGAUACUGAAUCCUAGAAUUAACAGAUCUUAGGAAUGAGGCCUCUCGACGCUCCUUAGGCCUUGGCUUUGAGGACACCUGCCCGGCUGCUUCUCCUCCUGCCCCCUCUUACACUGCAAGUGUUCUCCUGGAAUCCUGUCACCACGGUAAAUAAAACCAGGAGGAUCCCCAGCUCCCAGCCUGGGCUUACUCUGAGUGGAUGGGGAGUGGAUCCCUAGCAAGGAGUCAGCAGCCUGAGGCCUGCUGCAGUGUGAAGACUCCAGACACCCCUGCUGGACCAUUCUCACCAAAGCCAUUCUAGCCCAGCUGUUCCUCAGCAAAUCCACCAGUCUCCUACAGACCUUGAAUGUGCACAGGCACCUCAGCAGAUCUUCCAGCUAACUGUGGACUCCUGAGAGUCAUUUAAGCCCUGAAGUGUUGGGUGGUUUGUUACACAGCAGUAACAGUAACUGACUGACACAGAGGGAAGAGUUUCUUUAGAGAUAGACAGAAGAUAUGUGGUUGGCAUCUAUACUCAUGGGGGAGGGAAAGGAAUGCUUCUCCAUAAGAUGAAGCCAGGAGAAUUACUUAGCUGUCUUAGCUUGUGUCCCCUACUGGAUUGCAAGUAGGGGUUAGUGCAAGACUCAUAUCCAAAGGCCCUGGGAAAGGUCAACACUUCAGCAAGGCUGGGUCAGGCAGAAACCUGCAGCACUUGCCCAGGGAGGAGGACUUGGGUCCCUGGAACAUGGGACUCAGCAGAGCUGAUGUGGCUGAGACAAUGGCAUUGCAGAGCACUGUCCUGGGAUUUAGGCAACCUGGACAGAGCCUGGCCACACUGCCCAUUGGCUGGAUAAGUCUGGAAACUUCACAUCUUCUCCAUGAGUCUCAUUCCCCCAUCUGUGAGAAGGGAGCCAAUAGAGAAGUGGGGGGAACCUGUAAUAACUGGCCUUUCCAGCUCACAGGCUGGGUGCCUAGAGCCACGCACUGGCCUGUUCGGGCAGUGGCACAGACCCUACCCUGCCAGGGGGUCCUGGCAGCCUGAUGGGGCAGAGGAAGCCCACAGGGAGCAACAGUGCUGGGGUCAUUGACUCCAGGGUGCUGGGGGUCAUGGUCUCUGCACAGCCUCCACGCCCGUGCCUUAUACCAGAUCAAUUGAGGGGAGCCUCAGCUCAUCCCGCCCAGUCCUCUGGGGGUCAUGCAGGGCACCUAGCUCAGCGUGUACUUCCCCCGGGGUAUGGGUGGCAGGUUACCGGAUGAGGUCCAGAAGGGCGUCGGCUGAGCUCAUGACCGGCUUCCCACUCUGCUCUGUCAUCUCCUUCUGGGCUGCACCCCCCGGGUGGAUGAUGGAGACCAUGAUGAUGCCCACGACGACAGCCAGGAAAGUGGUCCACAAGUAGUAAGCCACAGUGAGGAUGCCCAGGCGGCUGGAGGUCUUGGCAUCCAGGGAGGCAAGACCGGACAUCAGGCUGGGAGAUUGAGAUGGGUCAGAGGCUGUGGGACGCAUGAGACCCAGGCUGGGUGCACAGACUGGUCCUCUCCAGGCCCUCCCAGCUGUGCCCAGCAUCCACUCAUUCCCCGAGGUCCCUCUCAGUUCUGGGCUCCUUCUGGCCUCUUGGCUCCCAGUGCCAGGGUCACCAUCAUAGUUCUAGCUCUGCUCUACCCUCCCAGGCACCCCUGUCUGGGAAGCAGCUUUCCUCAUGCACCAGUCCAGGUGCAGCCCGCCUGUCAGCGGAGUCUUUGGACUAUCUGCCUCUUUCCCAGAGUCAAGAGCCCAUUCUGGAGUUCCCCGAACCUCUUCCAACACCACACCAGCCUGAUUAUCACUGCCUGCCCUCUGUCACUGGAUUGAGAGCAGGUGACAGGAGGGGCAGGUCUGGCCUCUGGAGGAUCCCCGGCUCCCAGCCUGGGCUUACUCUGAGUGGAUCCCUAGCAAGGAGUCAGCGGCCUGAGGCUUGCUGUAUCCCAGCCGGGUUCAGCCAACUGUCCACAACCCUGUCCUGCGGUCCCCAUCUCCAAAACAGGGCCCUGAGAGGAGCUGCUCCCAGAUCAGAGCCACCUGGCACCAUCUUGGGUAAGUGCUGGGGUCCAGACUUGGCCCCCAGCUCCUCCUCACCUCUGACCACCCGGCCUAGGCUCUCUGUUACCCAGUGCAGGUCACCCCAGUGCUGCUGUGCCCAAGCCUUGCAGGGUACUCAGAGGGAGUGGGGGAGGGGCCAGGCAAGAGAUUAAGGAAAUGCCAUGCUUUGUUUUGCUGCCAAAGGAUUUUUUCCCAAAGCCCUUUCAUUCUUUCUGAUAAAGAAAGUGUUUGUCUGGUUUUAAUCAUGUAAACAAGAGCAGAUAAUCCUUC